AACGAACGCUGGCGGCGUGCCUAACACAUGCAAGUCGAACGAACCCUUCGGGGUUAGUGGCGCACGGGUGCGUAACGCGUGGGAAUCUGCCCUUGGCUUCGGAAUAACAGUUAGAAAUGACUGCUAAUACCGGAUGAUGUCUUCGGACCAAAGAUUUAUCGGCCAGGGAUGAGCCCGCGUAGGAUUAGGUAGUUGGUGGGGUAAAGGCCUACCAAGCCGACGAUCCUUAGCUGGUCUGAGAGGAUGAUCAGCCACACUGGGACUGAGACACGGCCCAGACUCCUACGGGAGGCAGCAGUGGGGAAUAUUGGACAAUGGGCGCAAGCCUGAUCCAGCAAUGCCGCGUGAGUGAUGAAGGCCUUAGGGUCGUAAAGCUCUUUUACCCGGGAUGAUAAUGACAGUACCGGGAGAAUAAGCUCCGGCUAACUCCGUGCCAGCCGCCGCAGUAA
This 449-nucleotide ribosomal RNA is filed under the name uncultured bacterium. RNAcentral describes it as "partial 16S ribosomal RNA". It matches the Rfam family "Bacterial small subunit ribosomal RNA", at positions 29 to 523 of the family's 1533-position model. The record is from RNAcentral.